Molecule: long non-coding RNA, 1893 nt
Filed under: Gossypium barbadense (sea-island cotton)
Lineage: Eukaryota; Viridiplantae; Streptophyta; Magnoliopsida; Malvales; Malvaceae
Description: long non-coding RNA (GBAR_LNC003748)
Source: RNAcentral
UAAUUCUUCAAUUCCAUAUUUUAUUCAUCAUCUAAUUGUAUCUCUACUAUUUUUAAUGAUUUUUCAAACUCACAUCACUGCUGCUGUCUGAAUCUAUUUUAUGGUAAAUUUUGCCUAUUUCAUGGUUUCCAUGGAUUAGCUAGCAAUUUAGCAUACAUAACACCAAAUAUGAUCAUGAUUAGCCAUUCCAAUGGCUAAUCAUUACCAAGCAUUUCCAUACCACUCAAUAUCCAUAUCAUAAGACCAUAUACACAAAAUGAUUAUAAUGCUAUACAUGCCAUACUCAAAAUAUACAAGCCAUUAUGCCAAGAUGGUAUACGGAUAGUGUGAGUGGGCCUCCGACUGUUUCCGAUUUCCGAGCUGGCUUGUCAAAACUACAAGGAAUGAAAAGGAGGGAGUAAGCAUAAAUGCUUAGUAAGUCCAUAUGAAAUUAAUAAGCAAUUACCAACAUACUUUUAAGAUAAAACACCACAAUUGUACAAUUAUACAUACUCAGCUUAAACUGUUUUAUCGAGAUACAUUUACUAAAUAAUUUAUUUCUGGAGCUAUGGAACUUCAAAUUAAGUUCCAUUAAUUUUCCUUGAAACUAGAUUCAUAUACCUUUCUGCCAUAAAAUUUCCAGAAUUUUUGGUUUAGCCAUUUAGUACAGUUUAUUCAUUAAAGUUUCCCCUGUUUCGCUGUCCAAUAGUUCUGAUCUCUCUUCACUAAAAAUUAUUUAUCUCAUAAUUCGGGACUUGGAUGAUGUUCCCGUCUAUCCAUCUUGAAAAUAGACUCGAUAAGGAUUUUAAAUAUAUAAAUUAAAACUCAUAAUUAUUUUUUUACAAUUUCUAAUGAUUUUCUAAAAUCAGAAUAGGGGAUCUUGAAGUCAUUCAGACUCUGUCUCACAACAAUUUAAAUAUCUCAUAACAUAAAAUCCAAUUGCAUGUAUCGUUUCCUCUAUAUGAAACUAGGCUCAUCAGGCUUUCAUCUCAUAUUUUACCCAGCCCGUAACUCAAUUUCCACAAUUUAUGGUGAAUUUCAAAAAUUACACUACUGCAGUAACCCAAAACUGCCAAGGCCAUAUUUAUUUAUUCACCACUAUUAUUCACUAAAUCCAUACAAUAUCAUUUCAUCCAUCAUGGUAAGAACACAUAAUUAUGCUUCAUAAGCAUAGAUCCAUAAUCUCAAUGUCAUCAAGUAUCAAGAACUUAUUCCAAAUCGUGUCAUUUUCAUAGUAUUCACCAAUUCUUAAUCUUUUCGGGCCAUUUUACAUUUUCGUUCAUAAUCAAAUUAGGGAACGAUUACGGAAUUGAGUACCUCAUUAUCACAAUGCCAUAGUAAAACUAUGGUCUUGCACAUAGUCACAUAGUCACAUAUCACAUACCGAGGCCAUAGCCCAGCCAUGGUCUUACACGGAUCACGUAUCACACUGAUGCCAUAUCCCAGAUAUGGUCUUAUACAGUAGCACAUAUCACAUUUCUCCGAAGCCAUAGCCCAAUUAUGGUCUUAUACGGAAAUCACAUUUCACAUGUUGCCAUGGCCCAACCAUGGUCUUUUCCGUCAAUUCUUCUUAGCCACUGAAUGAAAGUACUCAAGUCCGUUGUUCCAUUUAAUUUGUACUUUUAUUCAAAUAUCAUUUUACAAUUAUCACAGUUUAAUGACAUUUUAUAUGCAAUAAUAUACUAUAUCAUUCAUGAAAUUUUCAUUUCAAAACAUUAAAUUACACGUUGCAUUAUUAAAAAUCAUAUGAACUUACCUCGAUAUAAAAUAUUAGCAAUCGAGCCUAUUCCUCGUAAACUUUAUUUUUCCCUCGAUCACGACUUGAAUCUCGUUUCUCUUGAUAUGGUGCAAAAAUAUGAAAAACCAGCAUAGUAGACCUGCUACGGUGUUUCUGGCUGAGAAAGAUGAAGAAAU